AAGCUGGAAUCGCUAGUAAUCGCGAAUCAGCAUGUCGCGGUGAAUACGUUCCCGGGUCUUGUACACACCGCCCGUCACACCAUGGGAGUUGGCAACGCCCGAAGCCAGUGACCCAACCGAGAGGAGGGAGCUGUCGAAGGCGGGGCCGGUAACUGGGGUGAAGUCGUAACAAGGUAAC
Molecule: ribosomal RNA, 178 nt
Filed under: uncultured bacterium
Lineage: Bacteria
Description: partial 16S ribosomal RNA
Rfam family: Bacterial small subunit ribosomal RNA
Source: RNAcentral